AUUUUCCUCAGUAACGUAGUCUAAUCGCGUGAAGUUGACCGCCUGGGGAGUACGGUCGCAAGAUUAAAACUCAAAGGAAUUGACGGGGACCCGCACAAGCGGUGGAUGAUGUGGAUUAAUUCGGAUGCAACGCGAAAAACCUUACCUACCCUUGACAUGCCACUAACGAAGCAGAGAUGCAUCAGGUGCCCGAAAGGGAAACUGUGGACACAGGUGCUGCAUGGCUGUCGUCAGCUCGUGUCGUGAGAUGUUGGGUUAAGUCCCGCAACGAGCGCAACCCUUGUCUCUAGUUGCUACGCAAGGGCACUCUAGAGAGACUGCCGGUGACAAACCGGAGGAAGGUGGGGAUGACGUCAAGUCCUCAUGGCCCUUAUGGGUAGGGCUUCACACGUCAUACAAUGGUGCGUACAGAGGGUUGCCAACCCGCGAGGGGGAGCUAAUCCCAGAAAACGCAUCGUAGUCCGGAUCGUAGUCUGCAACUCGACUACGUGAGCUGGAAUCGCUAGUAAUCGCGGAUCUGCAUGCCGCGGUGAAUACGUUCCGGGGUCUUGUACACACCGCCCGUCACACCAUGGGAGUGGGUUUUGCCAGAAGUAGUUAGCCUAACCGCAAGGAGGGCGAUUACCACGGCAGGGUUCAUGACUGGGGUGAAGUCGUAACAAGGUAACCGU
Molecule: ribosomal RNA, 671 nt
Filed under: Ralstonia sp. DB3
Lineage: Bacteria; Pseudomonadati; Pseudomonadota; Betaproteobacteria; Burkholderiales; Burkholderiaceae
Description: bacterial SSU rRNA
Rfam family: Bacterial small subunit ribosomal RNA
Source: RNAcentral